UACAGAGGGUGCAAGCGUUAAUCGGAAUUACUGGGCGUAAAGCGUGCGUAGACGGUUAUUUAAGUCAGGUGUGAAAGCCCCGGGCUCAACCUGGGAAUUGCAUUUGAGACUGAAUAGCUAGGGUGCGGAAGAGGGAAGCGGAAUUUCCGGUGUAGCGGUGAAAUGCGUAGAUAUCGGAAGGAACACCAGUGGCGAAGGCGGCAUCCUGGACCGGCAUUGACGCUGAGGCGCGAAAGCUAGGGGAGCAAACGGG
RNAcentral lists this ribosomal RNA (253 nucleotides) under uncultured bacterium. RNAcentral describes it as "partial 16S ribosomal RNA". It matches the Rfam family "Bacterial small subunit ribosomal RNA", at positions 524 to 776 of the family's 1533-position model. The record is from RNAcentral.